CAUCAGAUAACUCUUCAAGACACUGGGGCAUAGCACAAUAAAGAACAAAAAGAGAAGAUAAUUUUGUAACUCUUUACAGCAGUGAUGGGAAACUAAUACAUGCCUGAUAUAAAUAGGGGUCUUGGAAAAGGAACUACUGGAACUGAAUUAUUUGAUCAUGAAAAUACAAUUUCACUGUCAAUGCCAACCUGGGAUGGUAGAAAGACCAUGGAAUCUCAAUGGAAUUGGAAUUCCAGUGUUCUUCUUACAAGGUAUGGGUAUUGGGUAAGAUACUUAAUCUGUCUGUAUCUCUGUCUCCUUAUCUGUAAAAGUAAAUAUUUUCUUCAUAGGGAUAGUAAGGAUAUACUAUUUGUACUUAGGAAAAACAACAUGACAAUGUCUAUGACAGUGCCUAGCUCUUAACAGGCACUCAAUAAAAAUUAAUUCUAUUCUUUAUACCCUUCUCA
This 446-nucleotide long non-coding RNA is filed under the name Vulpes vulpes (red fox). RNAcentral describes it as "lncRNA (ENSVVUG00000024678.1)". Lineage: Eukaryota; Metazoa; Chordata; Mammalia; Carnivora; Canidae. The record is from RNAcentral.